UGCAUGUCUAGCAUGCGAGUCAUUGUAGCAUACAAGGCAUACGGCUCAGUAACGCGUAGUCGACCUAACCUAUGGACGGGAAUAACCUCGGGAAACUGAGGAUAAUGCCCGAUAGAACACUAUACCUGGAAUGGUUUGUGUUCCAAAUGAUUUAUCGCCAUAGGAUGGGACUGCGGCCUAUCAGUUUGUUGGUGAGGUAAUGGCCCACCAAGACUAUUACAGGUACGGGCUCUGAGAGGAGUAGCCCGGAGAUGGGUACUGAGACACGGACCCAGGCCCUAUGGGGCGCAGCAGGCGAGAAAACUUUGCAAUGUGCGAAAGCACGACAAGGUUAAUCCGAGUGAUUUAUGCUAAACGAAUCUUUUGUUAGUCCUAGAAACACUAACGAAUAAGGGGUGGGCAAGUUCUGGUGUCAGCCGCCGCGGUAAAACCAGCACCUCAAGUGGUCAGGAUGAUUAUUGGGCCUAAAGCAUCCGUAGCCGGCUCUGUAAGUUUUCGGUUAAAUCUGUACGCUUAACGUACAGGCUGCCGGGAAUACUGCAGAGCUAGGGAGUGGGAGAGGUAGACGGUACUCGGUAGGAAGUGGUAAAAUGCUUUGAUCUAUCGAUGACCACCUGUGGCGAAAGGCGGUCUACCAGAACACGUCCCGACGGUGAGGGAUGAAGCUGGGGGAGCAAACCGGGAUUAGAUACCCGGGUAGUCCAGCUGUAACUAUGCAACUCAGUGAUGCAUGACGUGGUGUGAUGCAGUGCUGACAAGG
Molecule: ribosomal RNA, 760 nt
Filed under: uncultured archaeon
Lineage: Archaea
Description: bacterial SSU rRNA
Rfam family: Archaeal small subunit ribosomal RNA
Source: RNAcentral